Molecule: ribosomal RNA, 372 nt
Filed under: uncultured organism
Description: bacterial SSU rRNA
Rfam family: Bacterial small subunit ribosomal RNA
Source: RNAcentral
CGGGGGGGGCAAGCGUUGUUCGGAAUUACUGGGCGUAAAGGGCUCGUAGGCGGCCAACUAAGUCCGACGUGAAAUCCCCAGGCUCAACCUGGGAACUGCGUCGGAUACUGGAUGGCUUGAAUUCGGGAGAGGGAUGCAGAAUUCCAGGUGUAGCGGUGAAAUGCGUAGAUAUCUGGAGGAAUACCGGUGGCGAAGGCGGCAUCCUGGACCGACAUUGACGCUGAGGAGCGAAAGCUAGGGGAGCAAACGGGAUUAGAUACCCCGGUAGUCCUAGCCCUAAACGAUGAAUGCUUGGUGUGACGGGUAUCGAUCCCUGUCGUGCCGAAGCUAACGCAUUAAGCAUUCCGCCUGGGGAGUACGGUCGCAAGGCUG